This 450-nucleotide ribosomal RNA is filed under the name uncultured bacterium. RNAcentral describes it as "partial 16S ribosomal RNA". It matches the Rfam family "Bacterial small subunit ribosomal RNA", at positions 354 to 796 of the family's 1533-position model. The record is from RNAcentral.
GUAGGGAAUCUUCCACAAUGGACGAAAGUCUGAUGGAGCAACGCCGCGUGAGUGAAGAAGGUUCUCGGAUCGUAAAACUCUGUUGUGAGGGAAGAACAAGUACCGGAGUAACUGCCGGUACCUUGACGGUACCUCAUUAGAAAGCCACGGCUAACUACGUGCCAGCAGCCGCGGUAAUACGUAGGUGGCAAGCGUUGUCCGGAAUCAUUGGGCGUAAAGCGCGCGCAGGCGGUCCCUUAAGUCUGAUGUGAAAGCCCACGGCUCAACCGUGGAGGGUUAUUGGAAACUGGGGGACUUGAGUGCAGAAGAGGAAAGCGGAAUUCCAAGUGUAGCGGUGAAAUGCGUAGAGAUUUGGAGGAACACCAGUGGCGAAGGCGGCUUUCUGGUCUGUAACUGACGCUGAGGCGCGAAAGCGUGGGGAGCAAACAGGAUUAGAAACCCCGGUAGUCC